GGUAAUGGCUUACCAAGGCGACGACGGGUAGCCGGCCUGAGAGGGUGACCGGCCACACUGGGACUGAGACACGGCCCAGACUCCUACGGGAGGCAGCAGUGGGGAAUAUUGCACAAUGGGCGCAAGCCUGAUGCAGCGACGCCGCGUGAGGGAUGACGGCCUUCGGGUUGUAAACCUCUUUCAGUAGGGAAGAAGCGUAAGUGACGGUACCUGCAGAAGAAGCGCCGGCUAACUACGUGCCAGCAGCCGCGGUAAUACGUAGGGCGCAAGCGUUAUCCGGAAUUAUUGGGCGUAAAGAGCUCGUAGGCGGUUUGUCGCGUCUGCCGUGAAAGUCCGGGGCUCAACUCCGGAUCUGCGGUGGGUACGGGCAGACUAGAGUGAUGUAGGGGAGACUGGAAUUCCUGGUGUAGCGGUGAAAUGCGCAGAUAUCAGGAGGAACACCGAUGGCGAAGGCAGGUCUCUGGGCAUUAACUGACGCUGAGGAGCGAAAGCAUGGGGAGCGAACAGGAUUAGAUACCCUGGUAGUCCAUGCCGUAAACGUUGGGCACUAGGUGUGGGGGACAUUCCACGUUUUCCGCGCCGUAGCUAACGCAUUAAGUGCCCCGCCUGGGGAGUACGGCCGCAAGGCUAAAACUCAAAGGAAUUGACGGGGGCCCGCACAAGCGGCGGAGCAUGCGGAUUAAUUCGAUGCAACGCGAAGAACCUUACCAAGGCUUGACAUGAACCGGUAAUACCUGGAGACAGGUGCCCCGCUUGCGGUCGGUUUACAGGUGGUGCAUGGUUGUCGUCAGCUCGUGUCGUGAGAUGUUGGGUUAAGUCCCGCAACGAGCGCAACCCUCGUUCUAUGUUGCCAGCACGUGAUGGUGGGGACUCAUAGGAGACUGCCGGGGUCAACUCGGAGGAAGGUGGGGACGACGUCAAAUCAUCAUGCCCCUGAUGUCUUGGGCUUCACGCAUGCUACAAUGGCCGGUACAAAGGGUUGCGAUACUGUGAGGUGGAGCUAAUCCCAAAAAGCCGGUCUCAGUUCGGAUUGGGGUCUGCAACUCGACCCCAUGA
This 1056-nucleotide ribosomal RNA is filed under the name Pseudarthrobacter oxydans. RNAcentral describes it as "bacterial SSU rRNA". It matches the Rfam family "Bacterial small subunit ribosomal RNA", at positions 256 to 1323 of the family's 1533-position model. Lineage: Bacteria; Bacillati; Actinomycetota; Actinomycetes; Micrococcales; Micrococcaceae. The record is from RNAcentral.